AAAGGAACUUGGGCACAUCUAUGAAGAGAGGACUAGCAAGGACCUGAGGAGAAGCAGUCAAGGAGGUGGAAGAGAGUUCCUAGAAAGAGGGAGUUCUGGAUCCCUUGGAGCCAAGGACUGGAACUGACAUGCGAGACCUCUACCAACUGAGGGUUUUUUGAGCACACUCCUUUGCCAAGAUUUGGUGAAAAGUCUUUCACUCUGCAAUUGUGUCUUAGAAAUUCUUUUAUCAUGAUCGUGCUUGGCUGGAUGCUUUUUGUUGGCCUUGCAUGUUACAUGGGCACGUUUCCGGAGUUUAUGACUCCAACUCUGAGGUGGAAAGAGAGGUGGCCUGUUCAGGAGAGCAAGGCCCGACGGAACAGCCAGGCUUUGGAUGAAGAUCUGCAACUGAACAAUGUGGAAGGGAUAUAAGUAUCCCCCAGGAGGGAUCCCACUGGAAACAAGCAAAGAUGAUCCUGGUGAAGUAAUGCAGCUCUGAAGCCCUCCUGACCCGCUGGCUGUACAGUUCCUGUUGUUGGUUUCACAUAAAGUAAUUGCACAUUAUUUUUUGUCACAUUUUAUGUAAAAAGCUACCGUACUUUUAAAGAUAAAGACUUGGUAUUCCGUUAGCUCAAAACAGGGAGAGGGAGGCUGUGGAGACAGUUGGGGGUGGAUGGAAGUGGUUGAUUCCCUUCUGUUUCAUAGUCCCUAAGACUGGUAGUAAGACUAAGAUAUCCAGUUCAGUUUCUCCUCUGUUCUGUAUCCUUAAGGAUAGAAAUUCUCAAGAGCUCUUUAGACCUAUUUCCCAAGUAAUGCCUUUCUCCUGGGUCCAGGAUUGAAAUUAUGUUCAAGGGCUAGAGAUUGCAGCAACUUUAAGCCUAUUCUUUGGGGCUAUUUCUCUGUGGCCUUCCCACAACUAUUAUUAAGAGCCCAAAGCUUCCACCUUGUGGGGGAAAGGUCCUCAUUUUCAUAUUAGGUGUAAGAUACUCAAUUUUACAUUAUUUUAAUCCUUCCAGUAACCGAGUAGUAGCCUCAUUUCACAAAACGGCAAAAAUGAAGUUGAGAGUCGUAAGUAACUUACCAACCCACGCAGCUGAGUUGCAGUGAAGGUUAAGAUCCUGGCCUUUUCCUUGCAUGCUUUUGUGCGUCAAGAAAAAGGGCCAAACAAGAGACUGGGGUAUCUAAGAUCUUGACUGCCUCAUGGUCCAAAUGACUUCUUCAUCUGUAUAGCCAAAGAAGUGGCCUGAUGAUUCUUUUUGCACUGACGGCUGCUUAAACAGGCAAGUGUAGAAACAAAAGCUAACUGCUUAGUCAUUAUGAUGCAGUUUGAGUUUAUGAGACCAAGGAUGGAAACUAUGAGAUCUAUCCAGUUACGCUGGGUGUCUGAGCCUUAGGUUAUUCUGAAUAAGCCCUCUAGUGAUUUGGAGCUUUUUGACCCUAAGGGGAGAUGGGGAGGGAGGAACAGCUCUAACAGGAGUAAACAUAGUACUUUUAAAAUAAAAUGUAUAAGUUGUUCCCAUUCUGUGGCUGCUUGGAUGACUGAUAGAGUUCCAUUGUCAGGAGUGCACCCUUACCAGCAUAUCUUUUGGUUAUGUACACAUUUUGUUGAUGCCUAUUUGAUACACAUUUGCUGAACUAUUUUGUAAGUGGCUCUAUGCACUGAAUGGAUUAGCCUUUUUUUUUUUUUUUGUGGAAGGAAAUGUGAAUUCAAAACCCAUAAGCAAAACUUUGUAAUUUCUCAACCUAGGAUACUAGCAUCUCUUGUACUUAUGACUUAGUCUCAACAUAUUUCAUGAAGUGACUGCAUUCUUCGGCUGCAUGGUUGUGCCUCAUGUAUGUCUUCCUAAAGAUUCAUCUCAGGUCUUAUUAUAGGGGAUCAGAGCUUGCUUUUCUUGAUAAGUAUAUACCCAGUUCUUUUUCCCUCCAGUUCAGAGUACACCUCCAAACAGUUCUCCUAACUUAGGUGCCUUCUGGAAGCUGGUGGGAGAGAUGAUAUGUCACUAGUAGGGUCUGAACAGAUGUGUAUAAGGGAGAACGAACAGAGGCAUGUGUAUAAGGAGACAAACCCCAUCUCUGAAGUCUGAUGAGUCUACUGGGGUUUCCAGCUGGAAAUAUGUUCAGGGUGAUGAUAUAGGAAUAUGAGUUUUGGUAAAUAAGUGCAAACCAGGGAGAUAUCAAUAAAAUAUUUUUAAUGCCUACAAUUUCUUUUAUACAUAAAUUGCAAAACUUUCACCUGUAUGUGCAAAAGUAGAUUCUCUUGCAGGUCAACAGCACCAGGUUAACAAGCUAAGCUAUGUAAAUGUUUCUAAACUUGUUUAGAAACAAUGUUUAUGUAAAAGAAAUGAUGGAUUUAAUAACUUCAAAGAAACCUAUAUAUCCCAUUCUUAAUCAUACACUAAAACCUGAAUAUUUAUUUCAUCACAUUCACUCAUAAAAUAAAUAGUCUAAUAUAUUCAGCACAUUGAAAAUAAACCAACCAUCUCUCUUCAUAUAUUUAUUCUCUUUCCAAACAUGUUUUGGUCUCCUGCUAUAUCUCAGAAAUGUACCAGUAGCUGCUUUUAAGUUACAAAAUACAAAACAGUAAUUUAUUUCUUGGAGAAAAUCUUGGGGAUUACAUUUAAAAAAAUGAAAUUUUGAGUUCCCAUAGACUUCCUUUUUUUUAAGUCUUUGAACCUUUUCACGGCACACAUGUAAGGCUGCCUGUGACAUGUGGUACCCUGCCCUCCAAAUGGACAUAACUGCAUUUAUAGUAUAGAGACAAUACAAAGACAAGUCCUGAAAGUAGCCUUAAAAGUGCCCUUGCUUUGACAUAGCAACCAUCAAAAGCAAGCGGGACUGUGCAAUCAGAGGCAUACGAGUUUUAUGAAAACUACUUUCCUUUCACGUCAUCUGUUAGAGAAUACCACACCCAUGAUCAUGUAACAUUAUUACAACCGUGAAAUAACAUUACUACAUUCGUGCAUUAACAUUAUCCAAUAAAAGGCACAUCUUCAAAUAUUGAAUUAAUAAAAUCUGAAAGUCAAAACGGAGGAUACAUUGAAAAUCAAGCACUUAAUUUGUAAACUUUGAUAAAAAUAACAGCCCAUUCCAGUUUCUUCAAAGGUUUGUGAACUUUGUGGUCAGGAAUUACAGAAUAAAGUGGAAGACAGGAUUUGGAAACAAGGCCAAGAUUAAUUUAAAAGACUCAGAACUUUUCAAAAAAAAAAAAAAAAAAAAAAAAA
Molecule: long non-coding RNA, 3200 nt
Organism: Myotis brandtii (Brandt's bat)
Lineage: Eukaryota; Metazoa; Chordata; Mammalia; Chiroptera; Vespertilionidae
Exons: 5
Source: RefSeq, a predicted model, not a curated record